Molecule: ribosomal RNA, 761 nt
Filed under: uncultured bacterium
Lineage: Bacteria
Description: bacterial SSU rRNA
Rfam family: Bacterial small subunit ribosomal RNA
Source: RNAcentral
UGCGAGUCGAACGAUGAGCUUGGAGCUUGCUCUGGGGGAUUAGUGGCGAACGGGUGAGUAACACGUGAGUAACCUGCCCUGGACUCUGGGAUAACUUCGAGAAAUCGGAGCUAAUACCGGAUAGGACCUUGCACCGCAUGGUGUGGGGUGGAAAGUUUUUCGGUUUGGGAUGGACUCGCGGCCUAUCAGCUUGUUGGUGAGGUAAUGGCUCACCAAGGCGUCGACGGGUAGCCGGCCUGAGAGGGUGACCGGCCACACUGGGACUGAGACACGGCCCAGACUCCUACGGGAGGCAGCAGUGGGGAAUAUUGCACAAUGGGCGCAAGCCUGAUGCAGCAACGCCGCGUGCGGGAUGACGGCCUUCGGGUUGUAAACCGCUUUUAGUAGGGAAGAAGCCUUCGGGUGACGGUACCUGCAGAAAAAGGACCGGCUAACUACGUGCCAGCAGCCGCGGUAAUACGUAGGGUCCGAGCGUUGUCCGGAAUUAUUGGGCGUAAAGAGCUCGUAGGCGGUUUGUCGCGUCUGCUGUGAAAACUAGAGGCUCAACCUCUAGCCUGCAGUGGGUACGGGCAGACUUGAGUGGUGUAGGGGAGACUGGAAUUCCUGGUGUAGCGGUGGAAUGCGCAGAUAUCAGGAGGAACACCGAUGGCGAAGGCAGGUCUCUGGGCACUUACUGACGCUGAGGAGCGAAAGCGUGGGGAGCGAACAGGAUUAGAUACCCUGGUAGUCCACGCCGUAAACGUUGGGCGCUAGAUGUGGGG